AGUUUGAAAGUGUGUAGCUCUUCUGCCUUUGUGUGCUUUCUCUCUCUCCUGCUUCCAAGUCAAGAUGUGCUGGCUUCUCCUUUGCCCUUCUGUCAUUAUUGUAAGUUUCAUGAGGCCUCGGAGCCACGCUUCCUGUAUAGCCUGCAGAACUGGAGUCCUCCAGGGAUGGCCAUACCUUUCUCUCCAAGAGCUUUGGCGAACUCUACUCCAAUCUGAACAGGUUACUCAAUGUGAAGAUGACAACAAGGGUGAAGACUUUAAUGAUGAUCCACUUCCACUUAAAAAAUAAUAAAUAUAUUUUCUCCUCCUUAUGAUUUUUAACAUUUUAUUUUCUCUAAUUUGCUGUAAGAAUAUAGUGUAUAAUACAUAUAACAUGAAAAAAUAUGUUAAUCAACUGUUUAUGUUAUCAGUAAGGUUGGCAGUACACUACUAGAAGUUAGGAUUUUGGGGAGUCAAAAUUUACAUGUGAAUUUUUGACUGCCUGGGGGGGUCAGACCCUAUAAUCCCCAAGUUCAAGAAUCAACUGUGUACCUCCUUUUCUCCAUCCAUUCAUCAUCUGAUGGACAUGUAGAAGUUUUGCUUUUUUAUCUUACCUUUUAUUAUAUAUUUAUAUUUACCAUCUCUCUAAAAUUGACUUAUGUGUGCUUAUGAAUUUAAGAUUCAUUUUUCCUUUAUGAAUAUUAAAUUGACACAGACUUAUUUAAAAAGCCAUCUUUUUCCCACUGUAUUAGAGUGUUUAUAAAUUAUGCAUUAGGUCUCAUAUAUACGUGAGUUUCUGACCUUUCUAUUUUGUUUUAGUUGCAUAUCUGAUUAACCUUGUAACAAGUCCAGAAAAUUUUAAUUAGAAUAGGGUGAUAAUUAUAAUCUAAGUUAUCCAAAUAUUUUAGCUUUUGUUUCUUCUUAAGAAUGCCUAGAUUGUACUUGGCCCUUGCAUUUCCAUAAACUUAUUUUUAUUGAGCUUGUCAAUUUCUUUUGAAAAAUGACUGAGAUUUUUAUUGGAUUUACAAUGGAUAUAUAGGUCACUUCAUGGAGAAAUAUCUUUACAUUGAAUCUUCUAUUCCAUGAUGUUUACAAUGUACAUUCCACUCCAUUUAUUUAGACCAUCUUAAUAUUUUCAAUAAUUUGUAGUUUCCUUUGAAGAAAUAUUGUACAUUUUUGAGAGAUAUUCAAUAUUUCAACGUUUUCUUGAAGAUAGUGUAAAUGGCUUGUUUUUUCUGUUUCUAUAUCUUUUUACUUGGGGUACAUCUGAAUUUGCCGGGAAUUGUGACUACUCAUUUUUAGAUUUUCACUCCUAGUAUAACUGAAUGUCUAAUCUCCAUUGUAUUAGUCCAUUUUCAUACUGCUAUAAAGAAAUACUUGAGACUGGGUAAUUUAUAAAGAAAAAGAGGUUUGGCCGGGUGCAGUGGCUCAUACCUGUAAUCCCAGCACUUUGGGAGGCCGAGGUAGGUGGAUCACCUGAGGUUAGGUGUUCAAGACCAGCCUGGCCAAUAUGGCAAAACCCUGUCUCCACUAAAAAUACAAAAACUAGCUGGGUGUGGUUGUGCAUCCCUGUAGUCUCAGCUACUUGGGAGGCUGAGGCAGGAGAAAUGCUUGAACCUGGGAGAUGGAGGUGGCAGUGAGCCAAGAUCAUACCACUGCACUCCAGCCUGGGUGACAGAGCGAUACCCUGUCCACCAAAAAAGUAAAAAAAAAAAAAAAAAAGGUUGGGCACGGUGGCUCACACCUGUAAUCCCAACAUUUUGGGUAGCCGAGGUGGGCAGAUCACCUGAGGUCGGCAAUUCGAGACCAGCCUGACCAAGGUGGAGAAACCCCAUCUCCACUAAAAAUACAAAAUUAGCCGGGUGUGGUGGUGCAUGCCUGUAAUCCCAGCUGCUCGGGAGGCUGAAGCAGGAGACUUGCUUGAACCUGGGAGGCAGAGGCUGCAGUGAGCCAACAUCAUGCCAUUGCACUCCAGCCUGGGCAACAAGAGUGAAACUCUGUCUCAAAAACAAAAAAAAAAAAAAGAAAGAAAGAAAGAAAGAAAAGAAAAAAGAAAGGAAGGUUUAAUGGCCUCACAGUUCUACAUGGCUGGGAAGCCUCACAAUCAUGGCAGAGGUGAAGGAUGAGCAAAGGCAUGUCUUACAUGGUGGCAGGUGAGAGAGCGUGUGCAGGGGAAUGGCUCUUUAUAAAAACAUAAGAUCUUGUGAGCUUUAUUCAGUAUCAUGAGAACAGCACAAGAAAAACCCACCCUCAUGAUUCAAUUACCUUCCACCAAAUCCCUCCCAGGACAUGUGAGGAUUAUGGGAGCUACAAUUCAAGAUGCGAUUUGGGUGGGGACACAGCCAUACCAUAUCAUCCAUGAAACCUUAAAUUCUUCUGUAAGCCAAUAUCUUCCAUCUCUCUAUAAAUUCCCCCCCAAUUAAUUUGUCACCUUCAAAUUUUUUACUACCUUUGGCAUAUCCUUCAUUUCCAAGUAUUAUUUAGUAGUGUAUCUAAUAAAGUACAGUUUUCUUUAGUAUCUUAUUCAUCAUAUAGUCCAUGUAGCACAAUUUCCUACCUAGAAAGCUUCAAUAGAGCUUUGUUAAUUGUCUAGAGAAGAUAAAUGAGAAGCUGAAAAUAAAGAGAUAGACUUGGCAAUCGAUGAAACUGGUACAAUAAUUUGUGUGUGUGUACUUCCUUCUCCUCUCUCCAUUCUUCACUCUCUCACCCUGCCUGCCAGAUAAACAAUACUCAUGAAAAGUCACUCUUCUCACCUGAACCCUUUAGCAAGGCCCCUUGUUCCAUUUAGGGACUGAUGUCUUGUAACAAACAUCACUGUCUGCUGAGGGGAAGGAUUUCUCCAAACUCUGAUGGAGAACUGGUUGGGCAGACCACAUUCACUUUGUGAGAAAGUUAUGUAUGAUGUGGAGGCUCAGUUUCUUCAUCUGGAAAAUGUAAAGCAGUUAUAAAAUGUACUGAAUUGACUUAAGUUCCUUCAUGUUACUCAUAAAAAUGCAUGGUAAAUAUUUUUAACCUAAGGUACUAAAUGCUUAUAUUAUCAUUACUAAAUUAGUAUUAGAUGCUUGCUUGCACCAGAAUAGUACACCACAGAGAUAUUAAGCAUAAAAUAACAUUUCAUAGGCAACCUCUUAUUCUGCCUUUGCAUAUCACCUUUCUUACACAUGAGUGGGUUUAAACUCUAACAUUUUUCCACUUUCGCAAAAAGAUUGUAUGCAUCAUAAUAAUAAUUGAGGAUCUUCUAAAAAGCACAUAUUUCUGCUUACCAGGGUUUGCUUAUAUGCUUUCUACUUAAACUGUGGAGACGUUACCAGGUUAAGAAAAUAAAAAUACAAGAUGCCCAGUCAAAUUUGAAUUUUAUAUUGCAUCAUAUCAAAUUUACGUAUAUCAAACAAUUUUGUUCAUGCAAUAUUUGGGACAUUGCUAAAAAUGUAUUGUUUAUGUCAUAUUCAAAUAUAACUGCACAUUCUGCAUUUUAUUGUCAAUCUUAACUGAUCUUUUGAAAAAUCUAUUUGGAGAAUUCCCUGGCUUUCUUCAAGAUCAUCUCUAGGGAGGGAUUUCAGGUGAGUUAACAGAAAUCUUAGAAGCAAUUACCGGAGGUAUAUAUAAUUUUCCCCUUUCCUUAUCCCACAAGUGGGCAACCAACCUGCAUCUGAACUCAGGUAUUUCACCUGUCCUCUGGUUACUGUGACGUCUUCCUUCCUAAGCUCAGCCUGUCAUUCAACUAGGGCACUUGCUCCUAAGGCUUCUCUUACUUAAUGACUUGCUUUCACAUUUAUUCUUUCUUCUACAUUGCUAAUUUGUCCUUCUCUACUGGAUUACUUUCAUUAUUUAAAAAAUCCUCUUGAUCUUAUAUCUUCCUUAAUUGAUACCUCAGUUAUAAAAAAUCUAUCAAAGUACUGGGUACAAUAGCAGUCUCCCCUCAUUCACUUUCCAUUCUCUCCUCUGAUGACUCCAGAUAGUAUUAUAUUUUCCAUUACAGUUGAUCUCCUUUGCCAGAUGGUAAAAAGGUGAGCUUUGUCAGUGGAAGGUGCUGAGGGACAGUACAGAACGUAAAGGGCUCUUCCUUGAUUCCCUGUGUUUUGUUCCUAUAGACCCUACUAAAUAAAGACAGCUACAGGCAACCUUUAUGUUACUUUUCUAAAAAAGUGUACUUUCUGAAGUGACGUAAUUUACAAAACUCAGAGAAGAAAACAGAAUAAGAAAGAAAAACAAACUACCACAACACCAUAAUUCAGAGAUAAUUUUUAUUGACAUUUGGGUAAAUAAAUACCCUUACAAAAAAUUUCAAGCAUAAAUAAUAUAUGGUAUUAAAGAUAUAAAUUUUAAUGCUAAGUAACUUUUUUUAACUUACUGUCUCAUAAAAUAAUGUCAUUAAUAAAUACGACUUAUAAUAUCAUCUUCCUGUCUGCUUAAUCUCUCAAUAUUUGAAUUGCAUAAAUUAUUUAAAUAAUUAUUUUAAAUGUAUUUCUUAAAUGACUAAACUCCUUAUCUAGAUUUUGAUUUUAAGAAAAUAUAAAGAACAAUUUUAAAAAUAUGCACACAUAUAUAGGUAGAAAUCCCUUGUUGUCCAUGGGGAAAUGAUUUCAAGGCCCAUGCAGAUACCAAAAUCCAUGGAUGCUCAAAUAUCUCAUAUAAAGUGGCAUCAGGAGAAGAGAUGGAGUGAGAUGGCCAAAUAAAAGGCUGCAGUAAUUGUCCGCCCAACAGGGACACCAAAUUUAACAACUAUCUACACAAAAAAGCAUCAUCAUAAGAACUAAAAAUCGGGUGAGCACUCAUAGUACCUGGUUUUAACUUUAUAUCACUGAAUAAGGCACUGAAGACAGUCAAAAACACAGUCUUGAAUUACCAAUGCCACUUCUCCUCCAUUGCCCAGUAGUAGGCUAUAUGGUGCAGAGAGAGAAUCUGGGUACUUGGGAGAGGGACAGCACAGUGAUUGAAAGACAUUGCAUUGAACUCAGUGCUGCCCUGGCACAGCAGAAAGCAAAACCUGGUUGAACUCAGCUGAUGCCCGCCCACAGAGGGAGCAUUUAGACCAGACCUAGCCAGAGAGGAAUCACCCAUCAUAGUAGUCAGAGCUUGAGUUCCAGCAAGCCUCGCCACUGCGGGCCAAAGGGCUCUGGGGUCAUAAAUAAACUUAAAAGGCUGUCUAGGCCACAAGAACUGCAACUAUUAGCAAGUACUAGUGCUGAGCUGGGCUCAGAGCCAGUGAAUUUGACACCAGCUACGGUUGCUAAAGGAGCACUUAUGCCACCCCUCCCCCAACCCUAGUUUGCACAGUUCGAGGCUCAAAAAGAGAUCCCUUCCAUCCACUUGAGGAGAGGAGAGGAAAGAGUAAGGAGAACUUUGUCUUGCAGUUUGGAUACCAGUUCAAAAAGAGUAGGAUAGGGCGCUGUUAGAGUUGUGAGUCCCACGUUCUAGAUCCUAGCUCUCGGAAAACAUUUCUAGAUACAAGUUGCUUCAGAAGGGAACCCACUACCUUGAAGGGAAGGACACAGUCCUGGAAGGAUCCACUACCUGCUGACUAAAGAGCCUUUGGUCCCUGAAUAAUCACUAGUGAUACUCAGGUACUCCAUAAGCCUUGGGUGAGACUCUGAAAUGUGCUGGUUUCAGGUGAGUCCCAGAACAUCACAAGUGUGGUGGCUACAGUGAGAGACUCCAUCUGCUUGAGAAAAGCAGAGGGAAAAAAGGGGGACUUUGUCUUGUACCUUAAGUACCAGUUCAUCUACAAUGGGGUACAGCACCAAAUGGGUUCAUGGGGUACACAAUUUUAGGCUUUGAAUCUUGGACAGUAUUUCCAUUUUUGCCCUGGGUCAGAAAAGAUCCAACUGCCAUGAAUGAUGAGUCUCAGGCUUGGCAGCAUUCACCACAAGCUGACCGAAGAACAUUUGGGCUUUAAAUAAAAAUCAAUGGUAGCCCAGCAGUUCUCCCCAUGUGUCUGUUGUGGUGGUGGCCAUGGGGUGAGGCUCCUCUGCCUGUGGAAAAGGAAGGAAAGAGUAAAAAGUACUGUGUCUCAUGGUGUGAGUGCAAUUCAGCCACAGUAGAAUCAAAAAUCAAGUAUAUUUCUGAAGUUUUUGACUCCCAGAAUGUGAAGACCAAAUAAAUACUUAACUCUCUGAUGCCCAGACGCCAACAAACACUCAUGAGCAUCAGUACCAUCUAGGAAAAUAGGAUCUCAUCAAACAAACUAAAUAAAGCUUCAAGGACCAAUCCUGGAGAAACAGAGAUAUGUGACCUUUCAGACAGAGAAUUUAAAAUAGCUGUUUUGAGGAAACUCAAAGAAAUUCAAGAUAACAAAGAGAAGCAAUUCAAAAUAAUAUCAGAUAAAUUUAACAAAGACAUGGAAAUAAUUUUAAAAAAUCAAGCAGAAAUUCUGGAGUUGAAAAAUGCAAUUGACGUACUGAAUAAUGCACCAAAGACUCUUAAUUGCAGAAUUAAUUAAGCAGAAGAAGGAAUGAAUGAGCUUGAAGGCAGCCUAUUUGAAAAUACAGAGUCAGAAGAGACUAAAGUAAAAAGAAUAAAAAACAGUGAGAUGUGUUUACAUUAUAGAAAAUAGCCUUAAAAGGGCAAAUCUAAGAGUUAUUGGCCUUAAAGGGGAGAUGGAGAAAGUGAUAGAAGUAGUAAACUAAUUCGAAGAUGUGAUAACCAAGAACUCUCCAAAUCUAGAGAAAGAUAUCAAUACCCAUAUAGAAGAAACUUAUAGAACACCAAGCAAAUUUAACCCAAAGAAAACUACCUCAAGGCAUAUAAUAAUCAAACUUUCAAAGGUCAAGGAUAAAGACAGGAUUCUAAAAACACAAGGGAAAAGAAAAGGAAGUAAAGAAUGAUAUACAAUGGAGCUCCAAUAUGUCUGAUAGCAGACUUUUCAAUAGAAACUUUACAGGACAGGAGAGAGUGGCAUGUCAUGUUUAAAGUACAGAAGGAAAAACAAACAAACACAAACAAAAAAGCCUUUUACCCUAGAAUAUCAUAUCCGGUGGAAAUGUCUUUCAAACAUGAACGAGAAAUAAAGACCUUACCAAACAAACAAAAGCAGAGGGAUUUUAUCAACAUCAGACCUGUCCUAAAAAAAUAAUGCUAAAGAGAGACUAUAUAAUCAGAAAAAAAGGAUGUUAAAGAGUGAUAAGAAAUCAUCUGAAGGUACAAAACUCACUGGCAAUAGUAAGUACACAGAAAAGCACAGAAUAUUAUAAUGCUGUAAUGGUUGUGUACUCAAGUACAAAAACUAAAAGAUGAACCAAUCAAAAAGAAUAACUACAACAGCUUUUCAAGACAUAAACAGUAAAAUAAGCUAUAAAUGGAAGCAACACAAAGUUAAAAAGCAGGGUGACAAAAUUAAAGUGUAGAGUUUUUACUAAUUUUCUUUUUGCUUGUUAGUUUAUUUAUGCAAGCAGUGCUAAGUUGUUAUAGCUUAAAAUAGUGGGUUAUAAGAUAAUAUUUGCAGCUUCAUAGUAACCUCAAAUCAAAAAACAUACAACAGAUACACCAAAAAAAUAAAAAGCAAGAAAUCAAAUCACACCAUCAGAAAAUCAUCUUCACUAAAAGGAAGACAGGAAGAAAGGAAAGAAGAAAGAGAAGACUACAAAACAACCAGAAAACAAAUAACAAUGGCAAGAGUAAAUCCUUAAGUAUGAAUAAUAAUAUUGAAUGCAAAUAAACUGAAUUCUUCCAGAAAAUUACAGAAUGGCUGAAAAAAUUUAAAAAAAAGACACAAUGAUCUGUUGCCUACAAUAAAUACACUUCACUUACAAAGAUACAUAUAGACUAAAAAUAAGAGGAUAAAAAUAGAUCUUUCAUGCCAAUGGAAACCAAAAAAAAAAAAAAGCAAGAGUGGCUAUCAGAUAAAACUAUAAAGAAGAAACAAAGAAGGUCAUUAUACAAUGAUAAAGGAGUCAAUUCUGCAAGAGUAUAUAGAAAUUGUAAACAUAUUUGCUCCCAACACUGGAGUACCCAGAUAUAUAAAACAAUAUUAUCAGAGACAGAGAGAGAUACCUCAAUAGAAUAAUAGCUGGAGACUUCAACACCCCACUUUGAGCAUUAGACAGAUCUUUCUGACAGGAAAUCAACAAAGAAAUGUUGAACAUAAUCUGCACUAUAGAGCAAAUGAACCUAAGAGAUAUUUACAGAACAUUUCACCCAACAGCUGCAGAAUAUAGAUGCUUUUCCCCAGCACAUAGAUCAUUCUCAAAGAUAAGCUGUGUUAGGUCACAAAACAAGUCUCUUGUAUGUUGUGUGUACAACAUACACAAAAUUGAAAUAAUAUCAAGCAACUUUUCUGACCACAGUGGAAUAAAACUACAAAUAAAUAAGAGGAAUUUUGCAAACUAUACAAAUCAUGGAAAUUAAUUGCUUCUGAAUGACUGGUUGGUCAAUGAAGAAAUUAAGAAGGAAAUUUAAAAUUUUCUUGAAACAAGUGAUAAUGGAAACCCAACAUUCCAAAACCUAGGGGAUACAGCAAAAGCAGUAAUAAGAGGGAAAUUUAUAGCUAUAAAUAUCUACAUCAAAAAAAGAAAGAAAAAACUUCAAAUAAAAAACUUAAUGAUGCAUCUUUAAAUAACUAGAAAAGUAAGAGUAAACCAAGCCUAAAAUUACUAAAAGAAAAUAAGUAACAAAGAUCAAAACAGAAUUACAUGAAAUUAAAAAGAAUAAAAUAAUACAAAAAAUUAACAAAACAAAAACUUGUUUUUUUUUUGAAAAGCUAAACAACAUUGACAAACCUUUAGCCAGACUAAGGAAAAAAAAGAGACCAAAAUAAAUAAAAUUAGAGACGAAAAAGGAGACAUUACAACUGAUACUGCAUGAAUUCAAAGGAUCAUUAGUGGCUGCUGUGAGCAACCAUAUGCAAAUAAAUUGAAAAAUCUAGAAGCAAAGACAGUAAAUUCCAUUUCAUUUAAUCAAGAGAACUUCAGCAGAAGUGUAGUAUAGCAUCUUUGAUAACUCAAUAAGCCCCAAAUCAAUUUUCUUCUCUGUGUAAUCAGAAAAGUUUUAUUUAUUCCAGAAAAUUGACAUUGUUAGGUGUGAUCUGCCUCAACUUUUCAGUAACUACCAGUAAUAAAUCUGCAAACAACUCUCUCCCUCUCUCCACACACACACACACACACACACACACAAACACACACAGAUCAUUUCCUCCAGUAUCAGAAAUUUAGGUGCAGCUUCUCUUAUUCAUGGCCAACACUUCACCUUUGCUCUUAAAUCAGACUCUUACAUAUUUUCUGAUACUUUACUCCAUCAGUAAUUCCCAUUCCCAUUUAGUUGGUGCUUUUUACAGUUUAGACUGCUCCACUCCUGAAAAUUAAUUUCCAGUUCUAGAGUCCUGCUAGUCACCUUCCCAUCUCUUCUUUCUUCUUUUCUUUGCAGCUGUACUUCCUGAAAGAUUAACUAACCUUUCCUAUUUCUUUCUUUCUUUUUUUUUUUUUUUUUUUUUGAGCUGGAGCCUCGGUCUGUCACCAGGCUGGAGUGCAGUGGCGCGAUCUCGGCUCACUGCAACCUCCAACUGCCUAGUUCAAGUGAUUCUCCUGCCUCAGCCUCCCAAGUAGCUGGGAUUGCAGAUACGUACCACCAUGCCCAGCUAAUUUUUGUAUUUUUUCAGUAGUGACGCAGUUUCACCAUGUAGGUCAGGAUGGUUUCGAUCUCCUGACCUUGUGAUCUCCUGCCUCGGCCUCCCAAAAUGCUGAGAUUACAGGCGAGAGUCACCGUGCCCAGCCAACAUUUCUUAUUUGUAAUUCCUCAACUACUAUUCUCUUCUUACCUCCUUAGCUUUAGAAUCUGAUUUCAUUCUCUACUGCUCUAGAGAAACUAUUCUCACUAAAGUUGCCAAUAUCUUCCUAAAUGCCCAAGUAGGCAAUUUCUUAUUUACUCGGAACUGUGGUGCAUGUGACAUUAUUGGCUACUUAUUCCUCAAGUUUCUCUCUUCUCUUAAAUUAUAAAACUCCUCCUUUUCCUCACACGUCUUAUUUUAACUCAGAGUUUGAUAUUGUAUCCUCUAGGAAAUCUUCUUCCAUUAAGCCAUGUCUUCUACCCUGUGCUUUUCUCAAUAAGCUCUCUUUAGAAAAAUAUUACUACUUUUGUAUUUUUUAGUGAAUAUAUUACUGAUAGAUAGCAAACAUCCACAAACAUAACAGUACAUAACUGUACGACUUGAUAGACUUUCAGAGUGAGCACACUCAUUUAAUCACCACUCAGGUGAUGGAUUGUAACAUGACCACAAACCGGAAGUCUUUAUCAUGCACCUGUUCAGGCAAUACCCAGUCCUAACUCGAAAAACCACUACUAUGCAAAUAGAAAUACACUAUCCCGUAACAGUACAGAGUAGUUUUGCCUUUAUAUAGACUGGCUCAUUCAGUAGGUAGUCUUUUGUGUCUGGCUCUUUUGCAGUGUUAGAUUUUUGAGACUCUUCUAUGCUUAUGUGUGUAAUAGUUUUUGCUAAUUCUAACACAAAUGAUUCUUCCAUUCUACUGCUGAUAAAUGUUGAUGAUUUAGUUUUGGGCUACCAUGAAUUAUGUUGCUUUGACCAUUCUUAUGCAUAUAUUUCAUUACCCGUAGGUACACCUAUCUGCUAGAUGUAUCUCUAUCAGUAAAAUUUCUGGAUGAUAGGAAAUGCAGAUGUUUAGCUUAAGUAGACAUGGCAAAGAGUACUUCAAGCUGGUUAAAUGAAUUUACACUCCCAACAGCAGUGAGAGUUCCAGUUGAUCCACAUCCUUGGAGCAUUUGAUAUGAUCUCCAUUUUUUAUUUUAGUCAUUUUGGUAGAUAUGAAGUGCUAUGUCAUUGAGGUUUUAAGUUGCAUUACUCAUGAUAUCGAACAUUUUGCAUAUGUUUAUUAGUCUUUGGAUAAUGAAGCAUAAGUUUAACGCUUUUGUUUACUUUUCAAUUGAAUUGUCUGUUUUUUAACAAUUUUUAAGUCAUUUUUAUGUUCUGGUUGUCAAUUAUGC
This 10908-nucleotide long non-coding RNA is filed under the name Homo sapiens (human). RNAcentral describes it as "HSALNT0394039". Lineage: Eukaryota; Metazoa; Chordata; Mammalia; Primates; Hominidae. The record is from RNAcentral.